This 845-nucleotide long non-coding RNA is filed under the name Trifolium pratense (red clover). Its description in RNAcentral is "long non-coding RNA (TPRA_LNC008519)". The record is from RNAcentral. Lineage: Eukaryota; Viridiplantae; Streptophyta; Magnoliopsida; Fabales; Fabaceae.
AACCUUGCUUCAUAGUUUCAACGUUGCAAUAUGGUGCACUUCGUAUGCUUCCUCUAAUUAAUCCCCGAAGCAAAUUUGCAACGUAGGAAGGCUUAAUGGUUGAACGAAAAAGGGCAGAAAUGGAAAAUGAAAAGUUGAGUCCAUCCAUCUGCUCUUUCUUUCCAAGCCAACAAAUAAAUGAAAAAGUACCUUGAUCUAGGAUGAGUUUGCGUUUCCUCCAUUUGUUAUCCCUCAAUUUAUUCUCAAUUUGAAAAGAGAUAGAUACAAGUGAAGAUUAGUGGGGUNNNNNNNNNNNNNNNNNAGUGGAAUUCACAAUUUUUUAAUGUGUCUAUCUCUCUCCAAAUAGAGAAUAAAUGGAGGGAUAACAAAUGGAGGAAACCCAAACCCAUGAAAAUUAGUGGGCUCACAAAUUAGUGAGACCCACUUUUAAUGGGUCCCACCAAUCUUUAAUGUGUCUAACUAAUCUAUCUCCAAAUAAAAAAUAAAUGGAGAGAAAACUCAAACUUCAAUUUAACCAACUUAUUCUCAUUACUUAUAUUUCUACAGAAGAAAACGAAAACAUUAACGACUUUAUCCUUAUGAUAAUGACAAUAAUGAGACACUCCUCUGAUGAUUUUAAUCAGAAAAGGGAAUUGAAACUCAAUUUCAAUGACUUUGCAGUUAUGUGUCUCAAACAACAUUUAGCCUAAAAAAAAAUAACACUUUUUAACAAUACAACUAACAUCGCAUAUGAUUUUCUUUUUUGGUAUUAACCCUCCGGUUCCUAGGGGAAAUGGGCCCCAGUAAUCCAGAGUUAGACCGCAAGGUAAGUAAAGUCUAGCCAAAAAUUGUUCCUAUCAAGAAUC